AUUGAAUCCUGUUGAGAUUAUGGUAUUUGAAAUUCCCAAUGCUAUAAUAAUAAAUAUCAUAUUUAAUUUUGAAACUUGAUCAAAAAAAAAUUCAUUAUUUUAUCUUUCUUGUUAUUAAUAUUUAAGGCUGAAGCAAAAAUUGAUCCAAGUGUAAAGUUUGUUGAUGUUGUACACAAUUCUGAAGCUUAUGUACGAUGCGAUUGUCAAGAAACUGCUCAAAAAAUAGCAGAAGAAAACCGAUGGCCUCAAACUAGAUUAUUAACUGGCGAAGAAGAAAAGCUGUAUUGGAAUAAAAUUUUAAGAGAUAGAGAAAUUAAAUGUACCAAGCAAAAAGAAACUAAAAAACCACGAGGUCGUGAAAAGCUAAUUAAAAAAGCAGAAAAAAGAUUGGCUCAACAUGUUACAUUUAAUCUAGAGGAUAAUGAAUAAAUAUUAAUAUUACAAUGUUAAUCAAAUUCCAUUUUAAUUUUGAUAUGAGUAAUAAUUGUAUAUCACACAGUUUCUUUUGUGCGAAUCUGAUGAUAAUUUUUUAUAAUAAAUGACUCAAUAUUUAUGAUGA
This is a long non-coding RNA of Diuraphis noxia (Russian wheat aphid), 559 nucleotides long. The record is from RefSeq and is a predicted model, not a curated record. Lineage: Eukaryota; Metazoa; Arthropoda; Insecta; Hemiptera; Aphididae.